AGUGGUAAAACUAGCCUUCCAAGCUAACG
This 29-nucleotide transfer RNA is filed under the name Radula scariosa. RNAcentral's name for it is "partial tRNA-Gly". The record is from RNAcentral. Lineage: Eukaryota; Viridiplantae; Streptophyta; Jungermanniopsida; Radulales; Radulaceae. RNAcentral also lists the same sequence under 3 other names.